RNAcentral lists this ribosomal RNA (658 nucleotides) under Sericata bathyclista. Its description in RNAcentral is "partial 12S ribosomal RNA". Lineage: Eukaryota; Metazoa; Mollusca; Gastropoda; Stylommatophora; Clausiliidae. The record is from RNAcentral.
CUUUCUUUAAUAUGAUAUUAUAAGGUAAGCAUUAAGUAUAUUUAAAUAUGGAAUCUACAACGAUGAUAUUCUGUCCAGUUUAAAAUUUUAAAUAUAUAUGAAAAUAUAAUUUAGAUAAUUUAUUUUUAUAGGUUAAUUAGGUGCCAGCAACCGCGGUCAAACCUAACAUAUAAGCUUACUAUUUAUAGUAAUUAAAUCAUUCAUUUAAAAUUAUUGAAAUAUAUAGUGAAAUAUUACUUCAAUAUUUUUGCUACUUAAAUUUAUAUUAACUAAAUCCAUAAGAGAAACUAGGAUUAGAUACCCUACUAUUAUGAACUCAAAAAUAGUUACUAAGAAGUAAUAACAUAUCUUAAAACUUAAAUGUUAUGGCGGCUAAGCAAAACAAUUAGGGGAACUUACCAUGUAAUAGAUAGCCACCAAGCCUAAUCCACUUAUCUUAAUAAUUUGUAUACCGUUGUUUUUAUAAACCUCUCAAAGAGGUUUAGGACCAUAAGAACCUAUGAGAAGACAAAUCAAGGUGCAGUGCACAGAUAAGAAUUAAGGUGAGUUACAAUAAAAAUAAUUUUCGGAAAUAAACUAUGAAACAAUUUAAUAAGACGGACUUAAAAGUAUUUUUUAAAUUAAAGACAUACUAUAAGAAUACGUAUUGCUUGGUGUA